ACUUUCUCUUCCGCCGAAGCCGCUCCCCUUGCGAAGAACUGGGGCCUCCCGGGAGGAGAGAGGGCUUUGCCUUGAAACCCGGGACGCCAGGGGCGCUCCCGCAAGUGGGGGUCCUCCGGGACUUGGAACGCCCCGGCUGGGUGGUGUCCGGGCGUCCUUUCCCCGCUUCUUCCCACCUCGGCUGGUCCCGUUUCCUCCUGCGCCCAGUGCGGACCUGUCUCGGCGCCCGCUGCCCUCUCACCGCCCCACGCAGGAUCCCGGCCUGGUCACCGGGCAGUGUGAUGCUUCCCGACUGCCGCGGGGACAGCGAGGCACACACAGGGCUUGGGCCGCGCCGGAGGACACACGGCCUGGCUGAGUUGCUCCUGGUCUCCCGCCUCUCCCAGGCGACCCGGAGGUAGCAUUUCCCAGGAGGCACGGUCCCCCCCAGGGGGAUGGGCACAGCCACGCCAGAUGGACGAGAAGACCAAGAAAGCUCCUGAAAAUAAACCCUGUGCUAACUGGCUCCUGCUGUACUGGCUUUCAGCAGAGGAAAUGGCCCUGAGCCUCACCCGAGCAGUGGCGGGCGGGGAUGAACAGGUGGCAAUGAAGUGUGCCAUCUGGCUGGCAGAGCAACGGGUGCCCCUGAGUGUGCAACUGAAGCCUGAGGUCUCCCCAACGCAGGACAUCAGACUCCUCAUGGUGCAAAAUGGCCAUUCCAGCUCCAUCCAGCCAUCACAUCACAGGAGGAAGGGAAGAAAGACACCCCUCCACACUCUUCUAAAGAGCAUAGCUCAAAAAUUGUACACACUUCUUCCGUUAAUUCCUAUGGACCAGAACUGAUUCCCACAGCUACAGUUCAGCUUGAGGGGAGACUGUAUAGCCAAGAUAUUCAGCUAGAAUUCAGGGGUUCGCUUGGUAAGGGAAGGGAAGAGAAUGGAUACUGUCGGUCUGUGCUCCAGGAGACUUAAACUCAAUGCUGAAACACUUUGCACAAUGCCUGGCGUGUUAUGCACUCAAUAAACAUUAGUGUCUAUUGUUC
This 1021-nucleotide small RNA is filed under the name Pan troglodytes (chimpanzee). RNAcentral's name for it is "processed transcript". The record is from RNAcentral. Lineage: Eukaryota; Metazoa; Chordata; Mammalia; Primates; Hominidae.